RNAcentral lists this long non-coding RNA (696 nucleotides) under Nicotiana tabacum (common tobacco). RNAcentral describes it as "long non-coding RNA (NTAB_LNC003891)". Lineage: Eukaryota; Viridiplantae; Streptophyta; Magnoliopsida; Solanales; Solanaceae. The record is from RNAcentral.
AAAUUUGACAUUUUGCUUAUCCAUAAAAAUGUUUUCCGAUACUAAUUAUCUCAAUGCUCGCUGGCUUCUCUCAAAUAUAAUUCUAGAAGAAUCAGCUUUUAUUUCUUUUGUUCCAAGGAUGGAGAAACAUUCCAAGCUUAUAUAUUAGUUCAUCAGCAAGGAAUUAGAAGGUUUUCUAUUUCUUCAUCUUCUUCAAGUUUUUUAAAGAUUUUUUCCCCUAACUUUUGCUUAUUUUUUUCAUGUAUAGCUAAAUUUAAGAAAAACGAUUUAUAAUUUUGGAUAUGCUGUGUCAGAUUUUUGGACUUUUUUGUUCCUGCUUGUAUUAGUCCAAUUGGAUACAGAUUAGCCAAGAGCAAGCAGGUGAUCAACAUACCUACUUGAGGACCAUAUGAGGUAGAUUACUGUUGUGGUUCUUAAGGUUUGUUCUUAUGCAAUAAUCCAUGAAUAUUGAGGUUUUCUGUUUUUUUUGGGCUUAUGGAGCAUUUCAGGUAAGAACCAAAAGAGAGAGAGAGAGAGAGAGAUAUUUUGUAGUUUAGCAUAAAAUAUUUUUUAGGUGAUGUAAUAAUGUAUUUGGCAAGUUUCUUGUUGCUCUUAUGGAAGUUGCUGUAAAUAUUUUUUUUUUUUUGUCAAAGCUGUAAUUCCUUGCUCCUAUGCAUUGUAAGUAUUUUUCUAAUGAGCUAUUUUGUUAUCACGACA